UUAGGCACUGAUGUGUCACAGAAGCCAGCUCCAGAACUACAAGAAUUGUCUUUCAGAGGUGCUGAGAAUCAACAGAUUAUCAGGAAUUUCCAUGGUGUGAAGGAUUUCGCCGUGGGUGCAGACUGGGCAUGAAAGGUCCUCUGGAGGGGUGGAAGAAAAGACUUCCUGCUGCCUCAAGUGGAAACCUCCUUCAGAAGGACAGGUUAGCUGUGGGUGGCAGCUCUUGACUGUACCACAGCAGUGCUCGUCUGGCAGAGUCAGCUCUGGUGUAUGACAGCUGUGUGUCAACAGCAAUUAGCCAAAAAACAAAAAAAAAGAAAGAUUAGGGACUUCAGUGGCAAAAUAAACAAAAAUACACCUGUAUGGUAAUAAGAGGAAGGCAAAAUGCAUUAAGGUCCAAACAAGAUACACAUGGUGAGUAAAAUGACAUCUUUCUUUUCCAGCAGAUAUUUUUGUUGUCAUAUGCAUGAGGGCCAAGUGCCACCACGCCAGUGGUGCUCAGGCCUUUGGUUAUCUCUAAAGAUAAGAAAAUUACUCUUGGAAUGAAUGUGGCCUCCACUGGAUCUACCGCCUGCCAUUAGAGAAAAGAGCUACCAGAAACUUUCAACAUUUGGAGUGGCAUCCAGGCAUGCCAGCCCUAACUAACUGUUCUUGCCCUGUAGACCUACUGGAGACAUGUUUGGACAUCUAAUUAUCUAAUUAAUUAUUCACCUAAGUCCUGGCCAUAAGCAAAACACAUUUGUCCAGCAAACUGUGCAAUCGCUCUGGGAACUGCUGAGCUCCUGCCUUUUCGUUCUGCUGUUGAAAAUCAAAUUAUAUAGCUUGAGCAACAGAACUGUAAUUAGGGUCAGUAGAAAACUGUGGGUAGGAUAAUAUUGUGGAUUCUGCAAUUUUUUGUCAUGUUGCUCCAUAAUAUGCCAGAAACCAGUAGUUUUAUUGCUGGACAGUGCAUUAACACUGUCCGUGACACAUCCUCUGCUUCCUGCUGUGGAACUGGCCCUUCUGUGAGCCUGUUGCCAAGGCUGGCCUCAAUUUACAAUAAUUCACAACUCCUCCUGGAAUUCAUGGCAAAGCUCUUGUUAACUCCUCUAGGAGCUGGACAGGUCUAGGCAUGGAAAAUAGGGAUGGAUAAGGAAGAUGGUGGAGUAGAGCUGAGGAGAAAAGAAAGCAGGCUAUGUUGUUUCAUUAUAAUCUCCUCAGUUAUCACUGGCUGUCAUACUGAUACCACCAGGAGGCUUUUCCAUGGAUUAAAAUUGCGUUAUAACUAAAAGUUAAUUCUUCAGUUCUUGUUUUUCUGUUCUCCAUCACACUCAGAAAAUCUCUGCUCUAGGCUAUUGCUGCUUCUGCCUCUGGGCUCUUAAGGUCCUCCUUUUUCUCCUUGGAUUUUCUUUUCCUAGCCCCUCAUCUUUCCUGCACAUCUUUAUUCCAGCUGUUUCCAGAUCUCUCCUCUUGGGGGGCUCCAUUCUCUCCACUUGCACCAUUCCAACCCCCAAAAUAGUCAGCUGUGGGCAGGCUAACAACUGACUGUGAUGUGUCAUUGCUGGCCCUUUCAGCCAGGAGAAUACACCUCUUGAGAUCAUUCUUUCAGGAUGUCAGCAAAUUCAGGCAAACGUUACAAGACUGAUAUCAUAAUUGGAAGGCUGCCUAGGAUCAGUUUUUAUAGGGGAAAAAAAAAAUUAACUCUUGUGACUGUCCUGGUGGUCUGAAGACGUAAUACAGGUUUAAAUAAUUAUUAAGAUAAUUGAUUAAUUAAUUAAGAUCCAAGCUUCAUUUCUUGUGACAGGAGAGAGAAAUAAAAAUUAAGAAGGAAAAAAAAGAGCUAAUUGUGGAAA
Pseudopodoces humilis (Tibetan ground-tit) is the source of this 1832-nucleotide non-coding RNA. The record is from RefSeq and is a predicted model, not a curated record. NCBI's taxonomy places the organism in Eukaryota, Metazoa, Chordata, Aves, Passeriformes, Paridae.